RNAcentral lists this ribosomal RNA (429 nucleotides) under bacterium. RNAcentral's name for it is "partial 16S ribosomal RNA". It matches the Rfam family "Bacterial small subunit ribosomal RNA", at positions 355 to 776 of the family's 1533-position model. The record is from RNAcentral.
UAGGGAAUCUUCGGCAAUGGGGGCAACCCUGACCGAGCAACGCCGCGUGAGUGAAGAAGGUUUUCGGAUCGUAAAGCUCUGUUGUAAGAGAAGAACGUGUGUGAGAGUGGAAAGUUCACACAGUGACGGUAACUUACCAGAAAGGGACGGCUAACUACGUGCCAGCAGCCGCGGUAAUACGUAGGUCCCGAGCGUUGUCCGGAUUUAUUGGGCGUAAAGCGAGCGCAGGCGGUUUAAUAAGUCUGAAGUUAAAGGCAGUGGCUUAACCAUUGUUCGCUUUGGAAACUGUUAAACUUGAGUGCAGAAGGGGAGAGUGGAAUUCCAUGUGUAGCGGUGAAAUGCGUAGAUAUAUGAAGGAACACCGGUGGCGAAAGCGGCUCUCUGGUCUGUAACUGACGCUGAGGCUCGAAAGCGUGGGGAGCAAACAGG